CCUACGGGGGGCAGCAGUGAGGAAUAUUGGUCAAUGGUCGGGAGACUGAACCAGCCAAGCCGCGUGAGGGAUGAAGGUACAGAGUAUCGUAAACCUCUUUUGUCAGGGAAUAAAGGCGGGGACGUGUCCCCGGAUGAGUGUACCUGAAGAAAAAGCAUCGGCUAACUCCGUGCCAGCCGCCGCGGUAAUACGGAGGGUGCGAGCGUUUUCCGGAUUUAUUGGGUGUAAAGUGUGCGCAGGCGGUUUGUUAAGUCCGCGGUGAAAGCCCCGGGCUCAACCCCGGCCCCGCCGGUGAAACUGGCAGUCUCGAGUUGGAGAGAGGUAUGCGGAAUGCGCGGUGUAGCGGUGAAAUGCAUAGAUAUCGGGAAGAACUCCGAUUGCGAAGGCAGCAUUCCGGCUCCACACUGACGCUGAGGCACGAAAGCGUGGGUAUCGAACAGGAUUAGAUACCCGAGUAGUC
Molecule: ribosomal RNA, 460 nt
Filed under: uncultured bacterium
Lineage: Bacteria
Description: partial 16S ribosomal RNA
Rfam family: Bacterial small subunit ribosomal RNA
Source: RNAcentral